CCCUCCAUCUCCCCUCUCUCUCUCUCUCUCUCUCUCAACGUGUGCAGAGCGAGAGGCCAUUAUCUGAGCCACAGCGGGCACGUACGAUGGAAUGGAGGAGUGUGCAGUGAGCAGAAACAGAGAGGGCUGUGGGGGGGGGAGAGUCGCGAGCGGCGGCAGCCUAGGAAACAGCACAGUGCAGCAGAGCUCUUACCAAUGAGAGAACCUCUCUACCCACGCCCUUCGGCGCCGCUCGCUCUACGGCAUUUUCAUGUCGCUAUCUGUACAUGUAUACACGUGUGUGUGUGUGUGUGUUUGGUUCAUCCGCAAAAGCCAAGCGCUGGCAACUUCGGCGAUGACAGAGCCGCUCCGCUUUCGGGCGCGGGAGGCGAAUGAACGGGCUAACCAGCGAAUACACAAUCUCGACUUGCGGCGGCAUCAACGGGGAAAAAGGAGCUAAGAAAAGCCACGUAGUGUCUAUGCCUGUUGAUGCCUUCUGCAAACGGCCUCUGGUUUUCCACACGGAGGCUUCCGUCCAGUGUUCGGGCAUCUAGAUUCGACCGGGCCAAAGGAGAAGUCACCGAUAACGGUCCUUCCAUCUUCCAUUUUUCUGCCCCGUCCAGAACCACAGCGAACGUCCGUCCGUCCCUCGAUCGAAGCGAAAGGCUUUGAUCUAAUACCUGCGGCUGGUUACAGACUCUGUGGCAAGACUCCAAGCACAGGGAAAGAGAAACGGUCAGUAGAUUGAGGCGGGAGGCGGCUCGCUGGCGGUCCGCUGGCCCUUCCUCCAAGGUCCAAAGGAGACGACGGGUAGGUGGGAGGAUUUUCGACUGAAGGAAGCGGAUGUUCGCCUGAUAUACAACCACUCCUCGACGCUCCGUAACGACGGCUCCCUCGCCUACGCGGGGGGAAGAAAAUAAACGGAAGGACGACGGCGAUGCCAUUACAGCGAAGGUAAACGAGCGAGGGCGAUGCGGAGGGAACGGUGGAUGAUACUUCGGCAUCGGCAAGAAAAAGUAGCGGAAUGAGGAGAGGGGGAAUGGAAGAAGACACCGAGGAGAGGGAAGACAACAAGGGGGAGGACAUCGGAGGAGAAAAGCCAUUAUGUGGCGGAUUCUGCGAAGGGAGCGCCGAUAACGAUGAAGAAGAAGAAGAAGAAGAGGGCAUAAGCGGCGAGAGGAUCGGCAGGUUGCUGCCGAACGAAGACAGCUACCGAGUACCAAUAAUAAACCCGUCGCAGUUCGCUGAGGACGCGAGACUUCUGUCCUCUCCUGUCCAUCAGAGAAGGUCCUCUCGUUACCCCCCCCCCCCCCCCUCACCGUUGUUCUGCCUCGGUGUCAUUAUCAGCGUCAACGUUUGUCACGAUCGGCGGGUCUGUCCUCUCGCCCCCCUCGCCGGCUGACCGGCCUGACCGGCGACUCCUCUCUUCUCUGGAACAUCGCUGGAGUUUUGGGGCAGAUCUAACCAGGAGGAGCAGGAGGGGGGCGAAGGGGGGGGGGGGGGGGGGGGGGGGGGGUUGGAGCGAAACAUGGCCGUCUUCUCCCCAUGCCGAUCGCUGUCAGCUCCCGCUUGGUAGUUUUCUCUUCUAUCACUGAGCGGCCGCGCCGCGCCAUGGUCGGAUCAACUUAAGCAGCCUCACCCGGUUUCUUCGCGAUCGCUCAUUUUCUCUGGCUUUCUCAAUUUGCCUCUCGGUUUUAGUUUCCUGCGCCUUUUUCCGUUUCCAUUCCAACACUUUGUGACGCACCCUGCUCUCUGGCCCUCUAAAAUUGUACACUGGCCGCCUCUCUCUCUCUUACCACACGUAUUCGAAUACACACACACACACACACACACACACACACACACACACGCACAGAUGAGCGUCAAUCCCAAAGAGAAACACAGCGCAGCCUAAGCUGUCUAAGGGAAGGAGAGGAGAAGUAGAGCAUUAGGUCACAUGACCGAGGACUACCAAUGAGCGGCGGGGAGAACAGUGAGCGAGAGAGGUAGGAAACACAUGUGGCGAUGACGUAGCUGCACCGUCAUCGUCGUCAUCAAGCCUCGGCGUCAUUGCCGGCGUUGCCGGUGCCUCCACUGCUGGGUGGGCGGCGCGCACGUGUGUGUGUGUGUGUGUGUGUGUGUCAUCGCCUGCCCGCCCUCCACUAUCACCGACAAGGCGCACCGACGGACGCUCCGACACGCGCUCUCUCAUUCGCCCCGGCUCACUGGCGCUCGCUCCCCCCUCCUCCCCCCCCACCCCCCGGCUGCGAUGACACGGCAUUUCAUGGCUCCGGAGAGCCUCGACUUAACCCAUGAGUCGCUCGCUUUCCUUACGCUUAAAGAGAACUGCUGAGCACAAAACGGAGCAUUUUACGCGUCAAAAAGAUGCUGUCACCGGACAUUCGCCGCUUCCAAGAGACCUCGGGCAGACCAGGCAGUCAUCCCGCCUGAGUCUAAUCCAAACCGGUCUGUGAGUGGAUCACAACACGUGGCUGUGACGCCGUCACGACAUUUAAACGAACAUCAAGAGAAACACGAGCGAACAUGUGACUGCUACUGGAAGCAUGAUUUGCGCUGAUCAUAAACCUCAACACGUGAUGCAGGGGGCUAAACUACAGGCAGUAAAUACACUAUAUGAGCCACAAUUUACAGUAGUAGACUGAUAAAACAUUGAGCCAUCUCAAGUGAAACAUUGCUCGACGUCCCUGCUGUUUACCUCAGCUGUUUUGGCAGUUGGCCUGGAUAAUCUAGAUAAGCCACAAUGAUGCCAUUUGCCAAAGAGGGCCGUCCUGAAAUACCAACAAACGUGUCACUUCUCAUUCCGACAACGAGGGCGACGUGAUUCCAUCAGAGCUGGAAGGAAGACGCUCUGUAGCCACGUCCUGUUAUAAACUGUGUUCACAUCACGUAACACUGAGAACUGAAGAGAAAAACUCCUAUAACAGUCGUAGCAUCUUAACUUUUGAGAGAAAAUGGAAUGGAAAACAUGAACAAGGCACUUACGCAUGACAUAGAAAGCCUCGCACACCGAAACAAGCUUUUCAAAAUAUCACCAGCAGCACCAGUAGUCGGGAGGUCUGUUUUGCGUUGGAACGCGCCAACGGCGAUGGAGAACCACGGCGUUCUGUUUCAAAGGUACCGUGGGAGAAUUAUUUUGUACGACAGUUGAUGCGAUUUCACAAAUUCGGCGCUUUCGUCAGCCCUCAUUAGCGCCACCGCUUUGGGCCAUUUAAGGUGACAAUCUUUCUCUUACUGCCAUUAAAACAACUCCCAUGGGCGCCACAGUCAUGACACGAGGGUCCCCCCCCCCCCCCCCCCCCCACCUCUUCCUGUCAGCUGACUCCCCUGCUGCUCUCGCCUACCUCCAUAAACCCCCACCUCCUCCCCCCCCAAACCCGCAAUGCCCCGCAGUCCAACGGCAUCAAGGUCAUCUGAUCUGACACACUUUAUGACUCUCCUUCCCCCGUCUUUCAUUUUGCUCUCUGUCGUUUUUUCCUUUAACGCACGCUGGCUUGUUUCAGGGCAAAGACACUGAACCAAUGCACACACAGGCAGCAAAUGUAGAGGCGAUAUAUAUAUAUAUAUAUAUAUAUAUAUUUUCCUCUGUGCACACACGCAUGCUAGAAUGCAUACAGUAUUGGAUUGUUCACCGAGGGUCGCCGGGUUUGUUUGUGGGCGGGACCAGAGGCUGCAGGGCUGCACGGGGCACGUGAUACUUAACAGAGCAGAAGCAACACAAACUGUUUCUGCCUGGUCAAACAAAUAAAGACUAAUAUAACGCUGGAAACUCUUAUUAUCGUGAUUAGUUUGAUAUUAUUAACACCAAGUUUUGUAUUUUUGUGAGAGAAACUAGGCACAAAAUGUGUUUUGUUUGGAAAAUCCCUAACAUCAUGAAAGGGAUAUAAAUGAAUUUUGUAUUUCUGUAUCAAAUGAAAAAGAAAAAGAAAAAGGGUCCUUUCUACGAGUGUGUAGGUUCAUGCAGAGUGAAUAAAUACACAUCUAUGAACCGUCUCA
Molecule: long non-coding RNA, 3972 nt
Organism: Gasterosteus aculeatus aculeatus (three-spined stickleback)
Lineage: Eukaryota; Metazoa; Chordata; Actinopteri; Perciformes; Gasterosteidae
Source: RefSeq, a predicted model, not a curated record